GUCUCUUUGAUUAGAUAUAAUAAAGAGUUGGGCCUGCUCGGUGAUAUUUUUAACAGCUGCGGUAUUAUAACUGUACUAAGGUAGCAUAAUAAUUUCCCUUAUAAAUUAAGGCUAGAAUGAAUGGUUUGACGAAAAUUAAUCUGUCUCUAUUAUAAUUAUUAGAAGUUAAUGUUUAUAGUGAAAAAGCUUAAAUUAUUUAAAGGGACGAGAAGACCCUAUUGAGCUUGAUAUUAAAAUAUAAAUUUUUUUUAAAGUUAAUAUAAUUAUGUUAUGGGUUUAAAUUUUGAUUGGGGUGAUCAAGGAAUAAAAAAGAUUAAUGUAUAUAUAUAUUAACUUCCUUAUAUAUAAAUAUUUAUAGAUAAAUAAACCGAGAGUUUUGCUUAAAAGUAAGUUACCAUAGGGAUAACAGGGUAAUUUUUUUAGAGAGUUCUUAUUAAAAAAAAAGAUUGCGACCUCGAUGUUGGAUUAAAAUUACCUUUGGGUGCAGAAGCUCAGAUAGGUGAAUCUGUUCGAUUUUUAAAAUUUUAC
This 528-nucleotide ribosomal RNA is filed under the name Eledone cirrhosa (curled octopus). RNAcentral describes it as "partial 16S ribosomal RNA". It matches the Rfam family "Bacterial large subunit ribosomal RNA", at positions 1816 to 2599 of the family's 2925-position model. Lineage: Eukaryota; Metazoa; Mollusca; Cephalopoda; Octopoda; Eledonidae. The record is from RNAcentral.